ACCUUUAUCUGGGGCAUAGCCCGGAGAAAUCCGGAUUAACACCCCAUAAUAUAAUUGAGUGGCAUCACUUGGUUACUAAAACUCCGGUGGAUAAAGAUGAGUGUGCGUCCCAUUAGCUAGUUGGUAGGGUAAUGGCCUACCAAGGCGACGAUGGGUAGCUGGUGUGAGAGCACGACCAGCCACACGGGCACUGAGACACGGGCCCGACUCCUACGGGAGGCAGCAGUGAGGAAUAUUGGUCAAUGGACGCAAGUCUGAACCAGCCAUGCCGCGUGGAGGAUGAAGGCCUUCUGGGUUGUAAACUUCUUUUAUUAGGGAAGAAAAGCACGGUUUCUACUGUGUCCGACGGUACCUAAGGAAUAAGCACCGGCUAACUCCGUGCCAGCAGCCGCGGUAAUACGGAGGGUGCAAGCGUUAUCCGGAUUCACUGGGUUUAAAGGGUGUGUAGGCGGGCUGUUAAGUCAGUGGUGAAAUCUCAAGGCUCAACCUUGAAACUGCCAUUGAUACUAUCAGUCUUGAAUCUUGUUGAGGUAGGCGGAAUAUGUCAUGUAGCGGUGAAAUGCUUAGAUAUGACAUAGAACACCGAUUGCGAAGGCAGCUUACUAAGCAAGUAUUGACGCUGAGGCACGAAAGCGUGGGGAUCAAACAGGAUUAGAUACCCUGGUAGUCCACGCCCUAAACGAUGAUUACUCGACAUACGCGAUAUACAGUG
Molecule: ribosomal RNA, 712 nt
Filed under: uncultured bacterium
Lineage: Bacteria
Description: bacterial SSU rRNA
Rfam family: Bacterial small subunit ribosomal RNA
Source: RNAcentral